GUAGGUGGCAAGCGUUGUCCGGAAUUAUUGGGCGUAAAGCGCGCGCAGGCGGUCCUUUAAGUCUGAUGUGAAAGCCCACGGCUCAACCGUGGAGGGUCAUUGGAAACUGGGGGACUUGAGUACAGAAGAGGAAAGCGGAAUUCCAAGUGUAGCGGUGAAAUGCGUAGAGAUUUGGAGGAACACCAGUGGCGAAGGCGGCUUUCUGGUCUGUAACUGACGCUGAGGCGCGAAAGCGUGGGGAGCAAACAGGAUUAGAUACCCUGGUAGUCCACGCCGUAAACGAUGAGUGCUAAGUGUUAGGGGGUUUCCCGCCCCCCUUAGUGCUGCAGCUAACGCAUUAAGCACUCCGCCUGGGGAGUACGCCCGCAAGGCUG
This 374-nucleotide ribosomal RNA is filed under the name uncultured organism. Its description in RNAcentral is "partial 16S ribosomal RNA". It matches the Rfam family "Bacterial small subunit ribosomal RNA", at positions 527 to 896 of the family's 1533-position model. The record is from RNAcentral.